Molecule: long non-coding RNA, 212 nt
Organism: Cervus elaphus (red deer)
Lineage: Eukaryota; Metazoa; Chordata; Mammalia; Artiodactyla; Cervidae
Exons: 3
Source: RefSeq, a predicted model, not a curated record
ACACUUGAGAAAGCAGAAGAGUCUAAAGUCAGAAGAAUUGGAUGAAGUGAUGCCUCAGUCACUUGCUGGUUGUGGAUCCCAGGCACACCUCUUUAUGGAAAACUCCUCGGGAGAUGUUUCUCUCUGGAUUCAGUAACAACAGUUGUUCCUCACAGUUGACUGUAUUAUUUUAACUUCAGGGAACUGUGACCCUGUGACAGUUCCAAUCUGUU